This is a long non-coding RNA of Centrocercus urophasianus (Greater sage-grouse), 991 nucleotides long. RefSeq lists it as uncharacterized. Lineage: Eukaryota; Metazoa; Chordata; Aves; Galliformes; Phasianidae. The transcript has 4 exons. The record is from RefSeq and is a predicted model, not a curated record.
ACAGCGGGGCCGUCGGGUGUAGGUGGGUGCGGAGAGAGCUAUAGCAGCACGCUUGGAAGGAAAACGUUUUAUUUUCAGCUUUAAGUUUAGCGGUGCUGUAGGCAUAACAGUUGUCCCGGCGGCAUACAGCUCCGCUCCGCGGGGAACAACAAGAGUCCUUUGAGGAGACAAUAAGUAAUGCUAUAUUUGCAAAGGAGGUUUUUCAGUAUACUAGAACACUAUGUCUUAAAGUUUGAAACAGUUCUGCACAGUCUUAGAAGGGGAAAACCUGUUUUCCUGGAUUCCUGUGGUCAAAAUUAGGUGAUCAUUUGUCCAACCUGAGUCUCCACUAGUUAGAAGCAGAGACCUGGGGAUUGAAGAAGUCAUGGAAGGAGAAGAAAAAAGAGGGAAGAUGAGGGAAGAGGCAACAGAGCGGUAGAUGUGGAAUUUUGGGUUCUGGUCCACGAUCCUAGAAAUACUCUUUUCAUCAUACCAAUUGAAAGAAAUAACAACCAACUAGAAUAACUAGAAAUAAUAAAACAUGUUUAAGUAAUACAAGUCUAGAUUUUCUAACCGCUAGUCUAUGUCAAUAACAACUUCAUAAGAAGCUGGAAAUAAAAUUAAGAUGGGAAAUGCAUAAGUACCUGGCUGUAAAAUGAUACAGUAGAGAGUGUAACUGUAGGACUCUAUGCCUAGCAUGAAAAGCAGGAAGACCUAACAUAUUAAAGGCUCGUGAUUUUUUCAGUAGCGGCCAUGGCAGACACAGUCUCAAUCAUUAGAUAAUCUUCUGCUUUAUAGAGAAUAUUGGCUCCUACCUGUAGUCUUCCCAGAUUUUGGAGGUCCCACGAUUGCAAUCUUAACUGGCACAGGUGGUUUAGGCUUCGGCUGACAAAUAUAUUUGAUGGGAUUGUUCAUAAAUGUUUCUCUGUUUUUUUUACUUGAAAAAAAAUAAACAUAUUGUCGAUGAAUUACAGGAAAGAGUGUGUUUUCAUAGUUUUGUGCUGGCUUGAUU